This 497-nucleotide ribosomal RNA is filed under the name uncultured bacterium. RNAcentral describes it as "partial 16S ribosomal RNA". It matches the Rfam family "Bacterial small subunit ribosomal RNA", at positions 28 to 507 of the family's 1533-position model. The record is from RNAcentral.
GAUGAACGCUGGCGGCGUGCCUAAUACAUGCAAGUCGAGCGAACGGACGAGAAGCUUGCUUCUCUGAUGUUAGCGGCGGACGGGUGAGUAACACGUGGAUAACCUACCUAUAAGACUGGGAUAACUUCGGGAAACCGGAGCUAAUACCGGAUGAUAUUUUGAACCGCAUGGUUCAAAAGUGAAAGACGGUCUUGCUGUCACUUAUAGAUGGAUCCGCGCUGCAUUAGCUAGUUGGUAAGGUAACGGCUUACCAAGGCAACGAUGCAUAGCCGACCUGAGAGGGGGAUCGGCCACACUGGAACUGAGACACGGUCCAGACUCCUACGGGAGGCAGCAGUAGGGAAUCUUACGCAAUGGGCGAAAGCCUGACGGAGCAACGCCGCGUGAGUGAUGAAGGUCUUCGGAUCGUAAAACUCUGUUAUUAGGGAAGAACAUAUGUGUAAGUAACUGUGCACAGCUUGACGGUACCUAAUCAGAAAGCCACGGCUAACUACGUG